AUGCAAAUCAUCAUUUGCAGUUGUGUAUUCAAAUGAUGCUGAAAUUGAAAACCAGUUGUGAUUUGUGUUUCAAUUGGUAGCGGCCAGACAACCGUGUGGAUGUGGUAUCCACAGAUAGGGUUUAAUUCGGUCCCAAUUUGUCUACUAAUUCCAUCUCACAUUG
Small nucleolar RNA from Papaver somniferum (opium poppy), 163 nucleotides. RefSeq annotates it as small nucleolar RNA snoR143. NCBI's taxonomy places the organism in Eukaryota, Viridiplantae, Streptophyta, Magnoliopsida, Ranunculales, Papaveraceae. The record is from RefSeq and is a predicted model, not a curated record. The transcript has a single exon.